Molecule: transfer RNA, 71 nt
Filed under: Ovis aries (sheep)
Lineage: Eukaryota; Metazoa; Chordata; Mammalia; Artiodactyla; Bovidae
Rfam family: tRNA
About the family: Transfer RNA (tRNA) molecules are approximately 80 nucleotides in length. Their secondary structure includes four short double-helical elements and three loops (D, anti-codon, and T loops).
Source: Rfam by way of RNAcentral
UUCUUGGUAUCUCAGUGGUAAAGAAUCUGCUUGCAAUGCAGAAGACCCAGGUUUGAGCACUGGGUUGGAAA